GCCAACAAUAGCAGAUAUUCUGAAUUUAGGAUGGUGGGCCACAGCUGCAACCUGGUCAAUAGUGCAACAGUUGCUGAUCAGCUUCACGUUCCCCAGUUUUCUUGAUGCAGCUGAAAUGGAGGAGGAAGUGUCGAACUCGAUGAAUAAGGAAGUUUGCAUCACAGAGCAAACGCAGUACUACUUUGAGACUGAGAGCUUGUCUUUUAGCGGAUUUAUCGACUAUUCCAACGAC
Molecule: long non-coding RNA, 232 nt
Organism: Nematolebias whitei (Rio pearlfish)
Lineage: Eukaryota; Metazoa; Chordata; Actinopteri; Cyprinodontiformes; Rivulidae
Exons: 3
Source: RefSeq, a predicted model, not a curated record